RNAcentral lists this ribosomal RNA (2802 nucleotides) under Triticum aestivum (bread wheat). RNAcentral describes it as "partial small subunit ribosomal RNA". The record is from RNAcentral. Lineage: Eukaryota; Viridiplantae; Streptophyta; Magnoliopsida; Poales; Poaceae.
AUGAAAGGGGCUCAGGAUAGGAAGCAGAAGAAGAAGCAGGACCUGCAGGUGCUGGCGCCCUUCCCCGGCUGCCUCGGCAGGGUCAUCAACAUGUUCGACCUCAGCAACGGCGUCGUCGCCACCAAGAUGCUCACCGACAAGGCGCACCGAGACGUUUCUCCGGCUGGCAAGGACCGGAGCGGCAGUUUCAAGAUGGCGAGUAAUCAGUUUCCGGCUCAGAUGGAAGAUAAACAUAGAGACAGUCAGCAAAGAAGGAGCUCUCCAACGAAAAGAUCAAACUCACCCACCAACAGAUCUGGCGUGUCACCCGUCAAGAUGCUCAUGGAGCAGGACAUGUGGAGAGAAGGGGUGCCCGACGACGAGCCUCUCAAUGUUGUUGCCAGAUUGAUGGGUCUAAACGACGCUCCAGCCGUCCGCCAGUCUGAUUUGGCAUCAGGAAGAAGGUUCAGUAUGGAAGACGACGGCCGAAAUGUCAAGCCAAAGAAGGAAAGCAAAUGCCACCAGAACCAGAAGGCAGGAACACGGCAUGAGGAGACAUGGAGCAGUUUACGUGAUCAGCCUUCGAAGAUCGAUAGCAGCAAGAACAGACACCAAGGAAAGGAUCCUUCUUGCGAGAGGAGAAUGUCCCUUGUCCGCGAGAAGUUUGCUGAAGCAAAACGUCUGGCUACGGACGAGAAGCUUCUCCAUUCAAAGGAGUUCCAAGAAGCGCUGCAGUUUCUGAGCUCAAAUAAAGACUUGUUCCUGAAGUUCCUUGAUGAGCCAACUCCGCUGUUAUCAAACAACCAUUAUGGGUUCGAACCUGUUGCACCACCUUCAGAAAUAAAGCAGAUAACCAUACUGAAGCCAUCAGAAUCAGUGAAGAGAAAGGGCAACAUUCAUGCCGGGAGGCAGCUAUAUUCAGAGGGAAAUGAAGCUGAAGGCAACAGAUGCUGGCGCCACCAGAGCUUAAAUGUUAACCCGACAAAUUCAACUUUGUCCGAACCAACAAGAAUUGUGGUACUAAAGCCAGGGCUUCCAAAGUCUCAUGAAGAUACGAUCCCAGUGUCCUCGUUAGAAUCAUCAACAGAGGCAGAUAGUGAAGACGAUAGUGUGAUGGCAGUUGAUGAAACAGUAUCCUCGAGAAGGCUGGCCAAGGAGAUCACUUGGCAGAUGAGGAUGCGCUUAAAAGAUAGCCAGGAUGAAGAUAGUUCGCUCUCUUAUGAAUACCAUGAUACUUACAAUGAAAAUAGCUCCUUUAGUAAGUCAGAGGUUGAAACCGCUAAAGAAGUGUCCGGUGAAAUAAGUGAGGAUCUGGAGUUUGGUACUCCUACUUCUGGCCGUUCCUGGGAUUUCCUGAGCAGGAGUGACAGCCCUUAUUCUGCAUCAUGCUCCAGUCAGGCAUCCAAUCGACGUGAACCGUCGGUGGUUAAGGAAGCCAAAAGGCGGAUCUUGGAGAGAUGGUCGGUGGUAUCGUCAACUGUUAGUGGCGAGGAAGAAAGGGGAGCACGUAGAAGUGUGGGCACACUAGGUGAGAUGCUCACAAUCCCUGAAGGGAAAAAAGAUCAGGAGGAGUGUGGGGGAAUAACAUUAGAGAGCAGAUCGCCUGAGCUGGAUACCGCAGAUCCUUUCUCAUGUUUGCCAAGGUCUCGGUCUCUUCCAGUUUCUUUAUCUUAUGGAGGCAGGGAGUCGAACAGGGUUGCAGUUGGUUCUCAGGAAGCUGACAAUGAAAAAAGUAGGAAGUCAUCAUCAUUUAGGGAAAGAGUUUCCAGCCUGUUCUCUAAAAACAAGAAAUCAGCUCGGGAGAAGUUAGGUCCACCUGGAGUUUUGUCUGCUAAUAAUCCACUCAAGAAUGGAAGUGCUGUGACUAUUGGUGAUGGCAGUGAAGCAUCUAGCUAUUUUACACUGGACAAUCCACAGAGACUUACUUUGCUUGAUGAUGAUGAGAAUGCUGUGCAAAGACACGUGGCUGGUUCUUGUCACACUAAUAAUGUGGCCAGCAUCCCUGCCAAGGGUGCUUCUCCUUUGCCAAGUCUUGGUGUCCCAGGAUUCUUUGGCGAGUCUCAAGACCAACCAAGCCCUGUGUCUGUACUGGACCCGGAUGGACCGUUUCUCUGUGAUAAUAAUAGGAGGCUACUCUACUCAACUGAAAAUUUCAUCACUGCAUCCCCACAAAUCGUGUCCAGGUCUCCACUUAUCGGAUCAUUUUCAAGAUCCUUGUCAUGGGAAGAGCCCCCAUCGGAAGUCAUGUCGCCAAAUUCUUUGAGACUAGCAAGGCUUUUCUCCAAGGCUGAUGACGAUCAAGACUCGUUGACGAUUAUCCAGAAGAUAGUCUCCUCAGCUGGCAUGGAUAGAAAAAAUUGCGUAUUAGCCAGCCCUCUGGACCUGAAGUUGCUUGAGAAGUUGUCGGAUCACCAAGCAGUGGAGAUCAAGUCGAGGGAAAGGCGGUCGAAGGAGAGGCUUCUCUUCGAUGCUGUCAACGUGGCGCUCACAGAGCUCACUUGGACAGCAGAACUGUCUGCAUACCCAUGGGGUCGGACAUGUCGUUCGCAACGAAAAGAUCAAGAUGAUGAUUCCUCCUGUAACUCCGCCGCCGAUGAAAUUUGGCGGGUCAUAAGGAACUGGUCGAUACUCGACAAGUAUCCGCCCGGCGAAGUCAUUGAGAGGAACCUUCUGCUGGAGAUGAUCCUCAAGAGGGAGGUGGUGGAGACCGCCACCGCUGACACGACACGGCUGGAGACGUUUGAGGUCUGCGCCAUGGUUUGCACGGUGGUUUUGGAGGACCUGCUUGAGGAGGCCCUUGUAGAUUUGACUAACAGCACCUAG